UACGUAGGUGGCAAGCGUUGUCCGGAUUUAUUGGGUUUAAAGGGUGCGUAGGCGGUCCUAUAAGUCAGUGCUGAAAUAUCCCGGCUUAACCGGGAGGGUGGCAUUGAUACUGCAGGACUUGAGUAAAGUUGAGGUUGGCGGAAUUGACGGUGUAGCGGUGAAAUGCUUAGAUAUCGUCAAGAACACCGAUAGUGAAGACAGCUAACUAAGCUUUAACUGACGCUGAGGCACGAAAGUGUGGGGAUCAAACAGG
RNAcentral lists this ribosomal RNA (253 nucleotides) under uncultured bacterium. RNAcentral's name for it is "partial 16S ribosomal RNA". It matches the Rfam family "Bacterial small subunit ribosomal RNA", at positions 524 to 776 of the family's 1533-position model. The record is from RNAcentral.